This 72-nucleotide transfer RNA is filed under the name Camelus bactrianus (Bactrian camel). It matches the Rfam family "tRNA". From Rfam's summary of the family: Transfer RNA (tRNA) molecules are approximately 80 nucleotides in length. Lineage: Eukaryota; Metazoa; Chordata; Mammalia; Artiodactyla; Camelidae. The record is from Rfam by way of RNAcentral. RNAcentral also lists the same sequence under 2 other names.
GAGGGUAUGGCUCAGUGGUAGAGCACAUGCUUAGCAUGCACAAGGUCCUGGGUUCAAUUCCCAGCACCUCCA